This 413-nucleotide ribosomal RNA is filed under the name uncultured Singulisphaera sp. Its description in RNAcentral is "bacterial SSU rRNA". It matches the Rfam family "Bacterial small subunit ribosomal RNA", at positions 355 to 774 of the family's 1533-position model. Lineage: Bacteria; Pseudomonadati; Planctomycetota; Planctomycetia; Isosphaerales; Isosphaeraceae. The record is from RNAcentral.
GCGCGAAUCUUCGGCAAUGGGCGCAAGCCUGACCGAGCGACGCCGCGUGGAGGACGAAGGCCUUCGGGUUGUAAACUCCUGUCGAGGGGGAGGAAGGCGCAAGCUUGACCGAUCCCUGGAGGAAGCACGGGCUAAGUUCGUGCCAGCAGCCGCGGUAAGACGAACCGUGCGAACGUUAUUCGGAAUCACUGGGCUUAAAGCGCGUGUAGGCGGGCCGGCACGUCGGCCGCUGAAAUCCCCCGGCUGCAACCGGGAACGGCAGGCGCCGCAUACGACCGGCCUGGAGGGGAGUAGGGGGCCUGGAACUUCCGGUGGAGCGGUGAAAUGCGUUGAGAUCGGAAGGAACGCCCGUGGCGAAAGCGAGGCCCUGGACUCCUGCUGACGCUGAGACGCGAAAGCCAGGGGAGCGAACG